This is a long non-coding RNA of Sander lucioperca (pikeperch), 104 nucleotides long. RefSeq lists it as uncharacterized. The transcript has 3 exons. NCBI's taxonomy places the organism in Eukaryota, Metazoa, Chordata, Actinopteri, Perciformes, Percidae. The record is from RefSeq and is a predicted model, not a curated record.
UGGUUUUGACGCGGAUCCUCUUAAAAGAUCGAUCUCAGGAUUUUAUGAAUUGAUAUGGGAUCAUUCAAAUGCAGAUCGAUCUGAAUCGAAAAAUGAUUUUUUUU